UAUUCAUACCAGCCUUUUACCUUCAUGCCAGCCUUUUAAUCUACAAAGCACAGGUGACUGCUGGAGAGUCAUGGGAUGUGCUGUCCAUGUGGGCAUUCAGACGGGGUGCCUGGGCACAAACAGAGUGUGGGAUGUGUGUACAGCCAUGUGCCAUGUGCUGGGUGCAGUAGGGUAUGGAGUAUUGUGGUGUGAAAGAUUCAGAGGGGUGGAAAAGAAAGGAAGGAGGACAGGAAGUGAGCACGUGUUCAUUCCACAUGCAAGAUGUCCCAGAGGAUGGUGUUCUGUACUUCCCAGUCACAUCUGACCGUCCAGAAGGAGCUGAGUCAGCCUGCCAGAGCACUCAUGCUGCCAGCAAGAGAGCUGCAGGCAGGUGCAUCUCGGGUUGAACGCACCAGUUGCAGGAGUCAGGUCUUUCCUGAGUGAAAGGUAAGUACCAAAGCAACAACACUUUGUUUUUGAUCCAAAAUGUAGCAGCAGCAUGACCUGGCAUCCUCUGAAUGUGGUGGCCCCCGUACUGCAAGAAUGCCAGAAAUGUGUUUACAACUGCUCCAAAAUUCCAGUCCACUUGCACAAAGACUGAGCCCUGCAGGGGUGGACAGGCUCAGAGGUCUCAAGUGACAAGUCCCCUCCUUAGGUCCAGCAAAAGCUGGUGCUGGCAAGGGGGAAGGAGCCAUCACUGUCUCCUACCAAACAAGAAACUUCAGAGACUGCAGAAAAUUUGCAAAUUUUCUUGCAGAUUCUUGUAAAUUCUUGCAAAUCCAGCAAAACCUGGAUAAAAUGGUGCUCAAUUGCUCAGGUGCCAUGAUGUUGCAGCUGCUCUGCGUCCCAGAUCCUUGCUGGGACUGCAGUAGCACUGAAUAGUUGCUCUGACAUGUCCUGGCAGUGACUGUGAAGUGAAAAGGCUUUGGCAGACGAGUCCCCAGUUGCCCCAGUUUUCUCAGACUCAAAUAGGUUAUUGUCCUUCUUUCCUCUCUGAUGCUAACAAGUUUCCUCUAUAAAAACCCUUCCCCCUCUGAUGCUAGGGCACUGAUUUGAGAGCUUGCAAGACCACCAGAAAAGUGGUCUCCUGUUAAAUCACAAUCAGUGUUUUACAAACAGUUGCUUAUAUAGGAAAGGAGCAGGGCAAGUGGAGAGUGGGAGGACUGGGACCUGAGUGAAGUACCCUGAGGGAACGCCCCUUGGCCUAUGGUGAUGGAAAGGGAUAAUGGUUGCUGCAGGCUCUAGAAGCAAGAGCGAUAUUCACAUUAUUCCACUGGUAUCAUUUGUAGGAAGGAGUUCAGAGCAGCCAUGGUCAGGAGGCCCUCAGAGAAUGGAAACACCACUGAUCUUGGCAGUGAGUAAUCCCACUGCCUCAGAAGCAAGGGAGUGACAUUAGUACUUCAGUAGCAAUUCCUGGUCAUUUUGGCAGCCACCAAAAUAGCUGCUUGUGAGGAACAGAAGGGCAGCAACCAUCUACCUUAAGCAGUAGCCACUGUGUAGCUGUCCAAACCCCUCUUGGGUUUUGCCUCAUCUUUCUGCAGGACUUCUUGAUCCAUGACACAGGACUGCUAAUUUUUCCAAUGUCAGGAGAUGACAGUGAGGAGAGGGGGAUGCUCCACCUGAAGAAAUUGCAGGAAGGGACCAACUGGAGCUCUCACUCACUGACUUUCCACUCUCAUUUGUCCAGGCAGCACAGUGUCAGGACAGAGCAAAAGACAGGGUGCAAAGCAGUGAUGGAGCCACCAUGUCACUUAUUCAGUGAUUGCCAAACCCUCCUCUGGCUCUCUCAAAGAAGUUUAACCCCUUGUACUGAUAAAGCAUGGCCUGAAGGUGAGCCAGUGCAUUAAGAGUUUUAUGGCCACCUUGCUUCCCCUAUCCACCCAUUCAUAUUUCCCCUACUGCAGUAUUGUCAACAUAUUAUCUCACAUAUUGCACAGGCUUGUAAAACCUUGAGCCUGAGCAGACACCGAUACAUGCUGCCCUUUUCUUUUUUCAUUCCCAUAUGUGAGUGACAAACCCCGUGGGUGGUGGGGAAAUCACGUACCGUGUGCAUGACUGUGUCAUAUUUACUGCUGCUGCCUCUGUCUCCUGUAGCCUUCACUGAAUAUUUUAUCAUGGAGGAAGGGAGAGAGGGGCAAUAUUGCUGUAGCUUUCUGAUCUUUGUAUUUCACCGUGAUUGUCCUGUUGCUACUGGUGUGCUCUGGAGUUGGAGUGUAUCUGUACUGGUGUCUGGCUCUUACGCCAGUGGUGGCAAGUGUGCAGGUAUUCUCACUGUGCCAUGGGACUCAAGUGUGGUGUUUGGUCCACAUGGCCCACUCCAGUAGAUACACCUGUCACCCCGUCAUUCCCCCCAUUCUACUUGUUUCUACACCUAUUUAACAUGUUUAUGUCCGUUCAGGUAUUGGCAUGAAAAACCAUAGGCCUAGGUCAGUGCAAAGCUAUGCAAUUACUAAUGACUUUUCUUUUUUUUUUAAGUGGGGAUCAAAUUAAGCUACAGCAAUCUUUUAUUGCUAGUUAUGCAGCCAGGCCAGAGGGGAACUGAGCAGCAUGCUCUACUUCCUGGGUGAACUAAGGGUAACCCCAAUGACUGCGGGAACGUGGUAGAUCCUCAGAGACAGAGACUGCAGAAGAUCUGCAGGAACCUGCAGAGAGGAGGAGGACCCUUCCUGUCCCUGCCCAGCUAGUGACUAGUCUGCUUUCGAGGCAGCUGACAGGGCAGUUCAAGGAGUGCCAGGACUGACUUGAACACUGAUGUGGCAUUCCUGGAAGAAAGAGUCCCCCAAUCCCUCAACUCUUCUUUGAUGAGAUCUGUACAAGAAAAAGAUGCAGGUAACUUCCCCUCAGAGCCCUGGUGAGCUUUAUAGGGCAAGAGCUUCUAAAAGGAUCAAACAUAAAAACGCCUAAACCCAGCAAAACCGUAUUGGUCCUGUGUUGAAAGAGGCUGAAUAAUUUAUUAUAAGCAUGUACAAAAUGAGAAAAGAAUGAGAAGUAGUUUGGCUCUUCUUAGAAAGAGUUUCUUUCAAAGAUUUAUUUUUUUUUUUUUAAUAAAAGCAGCUUACUUUCAUCUGCAAAGCCAGGGCAAAAU
Neopelma chrysocephalum (saffron-crested tyrant-manakin) is the source of this 3064-nucleotide long non-coding RNA. RefSeq lists it as uncharacterized. The transcript is spliced from 3 exons. The record is from RefSeq and is a predicted model, not a curated record. Lineage: Eukaryota; Metazoa; Chordata; Aves; Passeriformes; Pipridae.